GCGCCCUUAGCUCAGUUGGAUUAGAGCGUCUGGUUUCGGCCCAGAAGGCCGCAGGUUCGAGUCCUGCAGGGCGCACCA
This 78-nucleotide transfer RNA is filed under the name bacterium. RNAcentral describes it as "tRNA-Arg". It matches the Rfam family "tRNA". Rfam says of the family: Transfer RNA (tRNA) molecules are approximately 80 nucleotides in length. Their secondary structure includes four short double-helical elements and three loops (D, anti-codon, and T loops). The record is from RNAcentral. RNAcentral also lists the same sequence under 1 other name.